Molecule: ribosomal RNA, 119 nt
Filed under: uncultured bacterium
Lineage: Bacteria
Description: partial 16S ribosomal RNA
Rfam family: Bacterial small subunit ribosomal RNA
Source: RNAcentral
UACGUUCCCGGGCCUUGUACACACCGCCCGUCACACCACGAAAGCGAGUAACCACCCGAAGCCGGUGGCCUAACCGCAACGGAGGGAGCCGUCGAAGGUGGGACCCGUGAUUGGGUCGG